CCAGACUCCUACGGGAGGCAGCAGUGGGGAAUAUUGGGCAAUGGGCGCAAGCCUGACCCAGCAACGCAGCGUGAAGGAAGAAGGCUUUCGGGUUGUAAACUUCUUUUCUCAGGGACGAAGAAAGUGAAGGUACCUGAGGAAUAAGCCACGACUAACUACGUGCCAGCAGCCGCGGUAAUACGUAGGGAGCAAGCGUUGUCCGGAAUUACUGGGCGUAAAGGGCGCGUAGGUGGGCGCUUAAGUCAGGUGUGAAACCUCCGGGCUCAACCUGGAGACUGCACUUGAAACUGGGUGUCUUGAGGGCAGGAGAGGAAAGUGGAAUUCCUAGUGUAGCUGUGAAAUGCGUAUAUAUUAGGCGGAACACCAGUGGCGAAGGCGACUUUCUGGACUGUACCUGACGCUGAGGCGCGAACGCGUGGGUAGCGCACGGGAUUAGAUACCCCAGUAA
Molecule: ribosomal RNA, 448 nt
Filed under: uncultured bacterium
Lineage: Bacteria
Description: bacterial SSU rRNA
Rfam family: Bacterial small subunit ribosomal RNA
Source: RNAcentral